This is a long non-coding RNA of Bos taurus (domestic cattle), 1278 nucleotides long. The record is from Ensembl. Lineage: Eukaryota; Metazoa; Chordata; Mammalia; Artiodactyla; Bovidae.
GGUGGAGCGGUACAGGCCUUGACCCCAAAGGCGAGGCCUUUCUGCGACUGCCAGGUUGGGGAGCUCCGAGAAUGUGCCAACAGACGGCAGAAUACGUGGUUCCCUGCUCCACAAAAAACAAGUAUACUUGACAGCUAAGGACAGCCAUUAGAAAGAAGAGGUACUAGAAGCUAUACAAGUUUGUACUGAGGAUACAAGCCACUUACUGGAACUUAACCUCUCUGGGAGCCUUAUAAAAUGAGUGCAAACAAUAUAUCAUGCAUGCUAAGUCACUUCAGUCAUGUCCAACUCUUUGCAACCCUAUGGACUAUAGCCCUCCAAGCUCCCCUAUACACAGGAUUCUCCAGAAACUCCUUUACGAACCUUCUCCUUUCUCUUCCUGCCACUCAUCUGAGAGAGGUUCUCCAGGCCAGUCCUGGAAAAUUCCAGGACAAGGGGACCACUCGCAGAAUCCAGGUUGUCCCAGUGCAGCGGCUUUGAGUGCCCUGUUUCAUGCAUCGAACUUGGACCGGUCAUCCACUUCACAUGUGACUCUAGAUCCAUCUGCUGCUGCUGCGGCUACUAAGUCGCUUCAGUUGUGUCCGACUCUGUGCGACCCCAUACACAGCAGCCCACCAGGAUCCCCCGUCCCUGGGAUUCUCCAGGCAAGAACACUGGAGUGGGUUGCCAUUUCCUUCUCCAAUGCAUGAAAGUGAAAAGUGAAAGUGAAGGCGUUCAGUCAUGUCCAACCCUCAGCGACCCCAUGGACUGCAGCCUUCCAGGCUCCUCCGUCCAUGGGAUUUUCCAGGCAAGAGUACUGGAGUGGGCUGCCAUUGCCUUCUCCAUGGAUCCAUCUACAUCUCUACAAAUGACCCUAUUUGCUCCUUUAAGUGGCUGAGUAAUAAUUCAUUGUAAGUAUGUACCACAUCUUCUCUAAGUUUUGUUCAUUUGCUUAUUACUUGUCUGCAUCCCCCUCUAAUUUUGCUUUUUAAUCCUCAAUGAGGAGUCAGAAAACUUUGUUGCCACUUUCCUAUCAGAAUUCCAUUAAAAAUAUAUGAUUUUACUGACACGUGUUUCUAAUAUUGCUCUUUUAAGUAUCUUUCUUCUAAGUAAUUUUUAAACAUUUAAGUAGGCAGAGAACCUGUACAGGGCACAUAAGGACAAGGUUUCCCGUUUCAUUGAGAAGUGACAACAAAAAAAUGCACUCUGUGGUGCUAAUAGGGGUAACUGAAAGCAUAAUUAUUCCAGAGAACUUGGAUUUUAAUUGUCACUUACUGCAUAUUUAUUAAAAUACCUGAC